Long non-coding RNA from Ornithodoros turicata, 417 nucleotides. RefSeq lists it as uncharacterized. NCBI's taxonomy places the organism in Eukaryota, Metazoa, Arthropoda, Arachnida, Ixodida, Argasidae. The record is from RefSeq and is a predicted model, not a curated record. The transcript is spliced from 3 exons.
CUGUAUUCCUAUAGUCGGUUCCACUCAUAUAGGUUAGCCAUCUGUUCUGCGGAAUUAACGAAUUCGUGUAUCCGCUCACUUUCGUCGUAAUUCCUUCAACGCCUUGGAACAGCCGUCGUCACUGGAUUUCAUCACAAGAAACCUGACAUGCCCUUGACCUGGAGCCUAAUGUUAUUCCUGGCUGUGUUGGUGCCAGCAGCCAUCGAAUGUCGCAGUGCAGUGGUCUCUAGAUCUGACGAAUAUUACUACGGGUGCACACCGUUCGGCUUCGAAUGCCACACGAACCGUGAGUGUUGCAGUGGCAAAUGCGGACAGCGUGAUGAUCCUUAUUACCGGAAAAUGUUCUGUUACUAUGACUGAUCGAACAGAUGAAGAACUUCCCACUCCGUGUCCCCUAAUAAAAUCAUAUACUGAGGU